Molecule: long non-coding RNA, 665 nt
Filed under: Pan troglodytes (chimpanzee)
Lineage: Eukaryota; Metazoa; Chordata; Mammalia; Primates; Hominidae
Description: lncRNA (ENSPTRG00000052993.1)
Source: RNAcentral
GGGGGCGGCAGGGAAGAGUUCCAGGAGGUGUCUGGACAAAGAUUUGAUGGAUGUGCAAGAAUUGGGCUGAUGCUUAGGAGGGGCGAUGAGGUGGGUCCAGAAGAAGGGGGGUGAACGGUGUGAGCAAAGACCGUGAGGCUGGAGGCUGGCCACGGGAGGUGUGAGGGGUAGGGGCAGGGUGGGAGGUGGGCUCGCGGGUGGGCUGGGGUCAUGAAGGGCCUCAGGCGCUCUGCUAUUGGGUUCCAAGGCUAUCCUGAGAACAGGGGUGAGGGGGGAUUGCCGUGGGGGGUUAAAGCCUUGUCAUGUUCGCUUUCGGGAGGUAAAAACAACAGGUGGCCUUUAUGGAGACGCUGCCCAGAGCCAGGUCUGUGCCAGGCUCCUGUUGGGGGUCGUCAUGCGGAAUCCUGACUCUGACCAUCCGAGGCAUAGGGACCGUGGAGAUUUGCAUUUCACAGAUGAGGAAACAGGCCGGUCACUGGGGACUCUGUCCAGGUCCUGGUGGUUCCUGCUUCCCAGCACCUGAUGGUGUCCAUGAGAGCAGCCCCUCAGGAGCUGUCCAGGAGAGAAGGGCGCUGGUGGCUGCUGAGCAGAGAGCAAGGCCCGUGUUCUCCAGGCCCUUGGCACAGCAGUGGAGCCCCCGCCCCUGCCUUGUGUUGUCCUCUUAG